GGGAACACCCGGACUCCGUAGUCUAACCACAAGGAGGGCUCGGCCGAAAGUUGGUCUUGAAACUGGGGUGAUUGAGUUCGGGGUAACAAAUCGCAAUUGAAUUUGCGGCGGCCAGAUGGUCAAAUAUAUGGAAGAACUCCCAUGGCGUUGGAUGCUCACCUGGCGAAGACUGACGCGGAACCGCGAAAGCUUGGGGAGCGAACAGGAUUAGAUGCUUUGGGAGUCCACGCUGUAAACGUUGUAUACUAGGUGUUAGCGGCUAGUCUGCUAGUGCCGAAGCAAACGCAUUAAGUAUACCGCCUGGGGAGUACGCCCGCAAGGGUGAAACUCAAAGAAAUUGACGGGGGCCCGCACAAGCGGAGGAGCAUGUGGCUUAAUUCGAUGCAACGCGAAGAACCUUACCCGGGUUUGACAUGUGACUGCAAGUCCCGUGAAAGCGGGAUUCCUUCGAGGGUGUCACACAGGUGCUGCAUGGCUGUCGUCAGUUCGUGCCGUGAGGUGUUUGGUUAAGUCCAGCAACGAACGCAACCCCUGUGACCA
Molecule: ribosomal RNA, 540 nt
Filed under: uncultured bacterium
Lineage: Bacteria
Description: bacterial SSU rRNA
Rfam family: Bacterial small subunit ribosomal RNA
Source: RNAcentral